ACGGCCGCUGCGCCAUCCCGCAUCACCCCUAGCCCUAGCCAACUGCCCUACACCGAGAAAACCGCUCUCACCAAGCCGUCGCUCUGCUGUCGCCCAUGUGCGUGCGUCCCGUCGCCCCCAUUCGCGCCCAAUGGAUAAAACGGAGCCUCCUGCCACAGCUAGAGCUAGAACGCACAGACUUUAGGCUUUAGGUACGAUGAUGGAGCCAGGAAACCUUAAUUGAGAAGGAAAUCAAGCUUUAUCCCGUCAUCCACCUCAUUGUUCUUACCCAAUCGCCAUUAGGGCUCUAGCUCGUCCAGGCAUGUGUUGGCAAUCUUAUCCCCAACGUUUCCUUACACGCUAAGCUAAGCCCCCAACAAAAUCCCCAUCCCUCUCUGCCUUUUCCUCCAAUACAUUUCGUCGAACACCUUGGGCGCGUGCUGCAGCUUCUUCCCUGCUCCACCACCGCGACAUCGAACUUCGUCGUUCCUCCUUCCCUCGGUAAUUCCUCGCUCCUGUGACUCCUCCUAGUCCCCUAGGGAUUAAAUCCCCCAUCAAUUUCGUUGAUUAGGUCCAUAGCAGUGCCAAGCCGAGCUCCAAAGCUCCACCCAUGGAGGUCACCGUGGACAUGCUAUCCCGGGGGCUCUCCCUUCUAUUUUACUGGAAAAACGGAACCCUCAUGCGCCAUAGAUGCUCACUCUCUCACCAAUUUGGUCGCAAACCAUCCCGUUCGCCGUAGCUGCUUGCAGCCGAGCUUGGCCAUGGCGUUGCCGUGCCGCAACGCUCGCCCCUGCCCCUCCUUGCACCGCCGCUGCCGGUGGAGGGCCGCUAGAGCUCCUCCGCAAACCCCCUGUCCACCGCCGUGCCGGCCUCGCGCCGUACCGGCUGCGCUCGGCCGAGCCCAGCCGUGCCCUGGGUGCUGCCUCCCGUUCGGCUGGAGGUAGAAGAAGGGUAGGAGAGAGAAACAGAAAGAGAGCAGCCGGACCCACUUGUCAUUAGCUCCAUCCUAUUUCCCUUUAGAAAAUUAAUCCUGUGAAAAAGAAAAUCAAAGCAUUGACCCCAUAUGUCAUCAGCUGUUAGGGAUAAGGAUAUAUUUUGGAAUAAACAUAAAUGAAUUAGGAACAGUAGCUUUUCGUAAUUUCUCGGAUUAAUUCGAAAUUGAAUCUUUAAACUAGUAUAACUUGCUCAUUUUAACUCGGAUUUGAGUGAAACUUGAACCUAAAUUCAUAUAAAUUCAUAAUCUUUCCAAUGGUAUAUAAUUCACUAAUUAAUAAAAUAUAUUUAUAAUUAUAAAAUAAUUAAUACCAAGAAAUUAGAUACUAGUUAACUUAAAAAUGUGCUAACAAAUAAAACUAAUAUUUUACAGUAAAGUAGAUGUAAGAAUAUUUGUCUCCAACAUGUCUUGUCACUGUAACAAAUACACAAACUAAUUUAAAUGAUGUCUCAUAUUAAUGUAUAUAUUAAUGUAUAGGAAGAUAGUACUAUUUAAUGGUUGUAUAAUUAAACCCAUGACUUACGAAUUAUUUACAUAAAUUUUAGCCUCAUAUUUAGUAACUAAAAUAUAAACACAUAAAGAUGAAUCAUUAACUUGUUUAGGAGAAUAAUAACAGAGCUAGAUGUGAAGGAAUCACCAAAUAAUUUAAUCAAUGCAAUACCAUAUAGAAUAGCAUGUAUAGACCUAAAUUGGUUACCACUUAUUAGUAACCCAACAGAACCAGUGCUUAAACUUGCCCCAUCACAUAUAUAAUAUCACUCAUAGAAACUAGCUAAUGUAUAAUUUAACUACAAUAUAUUCAGGAAUCACUUGGGGCAUUGGGUAGUACACUUUCUAAAUGGCUCAUGUACAGUAGGCGACCAAAACCAUAUAUGUUGUUGCACACACAUAUAAUGUACAUUCCAUUAUAACUAUACUAUUGAUUUACCUUUUCCAUACAUUAAACUGGGGAGUAUAUGACAAACAUGUAUAUUAGAUAAACACUAAUUAUAAAUUUCGACCUCCUGUAAUUGAUCGUUACGGGACCACAACUACAAAUAAUCUGUACCUAUAACCUCACAGAUCUAACAUACAAAGCAUGGAUAAUUAUUAACCCUUUUAUAAUUUAUAAUGACAAGUAAAAUAUGAUCAUAAUUAAAAUAAUGCCUCAUUGGAAAAAUGAUAAUAUAAAUUAAUCGAUGUAAUUAUUUGUUUGACCCUAAAUCCAUCCAACAACAGAACCUUUAGUAUAAGACCAUUUAUAGAUGUAUGCGUAGUCGUAUAACCCUCCCAUAACCCUGUAGCUUGACUAAACCACAUAUUAGCUGUAUGUACCUCAUUCAUAUUAUACUGGUUAGCUCCCAAAUGAACUGCCAUGACAAUAGAAUGAUUAAGAAAUCUUAGCCCUAGCAUGAUUGGAAUCCAUUAGCAAGCACGAAUAAUAUGAACAACCCUAGGUUCGACACCAUCAUUAUAUUUUGCUUGUGCACAUUUGAUUGUUGUUUGAAUAUUGGUUUUUAUCGCGUAUUACAGAAUUUGUAUAUCGGUUAGUCGUGAGGCAACGUAUGCAGCUUCCAGGAGGUGAAGGUUGAUCAAGAUUAUAUCAAGAAUAAGAAUUAUCCUGAGCAGGCAAGUCAUCACCCCAUCCCUUGAGCAUGUUGGUCCUAAUUGUGAAACUGUUUUGUUUACAAAUAAAAUUGCAUGCAGUGAUGCAUAUCCUACUUAUUAUUAUGCCAUGCCUUUGAUUAUUGCUUAUCUCAUUAUUCCCUUGGACCCAUAAUUACGUAUGAGUCCCUAGUCACUUAUGACAAAUGCUUAGUAAUGCUAAUUUAGGUUCAUGCAUUCUCAUAUUUAUCAAAUGCUUUAUGCUUAGGCAACUACCUUGGGGAAGGUAGUUGAGACAUGAGCGCCACAUUGCCAUGACAUUGAUGAGAUAAUUUGUGAAAGAAAGUUAAAACUAAAGAAAUGUUUUCGACUGGGAUGGCUGGAGGACUUAGGUGGUGUCCGGUAAAGGCUAGUGCUGUCCCUGGUCAGUUAAGGACCGAGCCAUGAAGUUAAGCAUGAAACGACCCCCGUACAACCGUACUUCUCGUGUGGGUAUAGACCUAGCGGAGUAAAUAGCCGAGCGGAGGUGGUACCCAAGCCGUAGUGGUUUUCUUGUUGUGUGUGAGGUAGGGCCUACGGUGGGGCAGCCAUUGGUAGGACCGCAUGGGGCGGGUGCCUACAGUGGUGUCGCCAUCGGUAGGACUGCCAUGUGCAAACCUAAACUUAACUAUAACUUAAUGAAUGUGUGAGUCUUUCCCCCUCGGGAGCACCAGAACUCCUCUCACUGCUAGAAACCUUGGACACCUAGAGUGCAUGAGGACUAAAGUUCAUGGAGCGGGUACUGCCAAUGUGAGGUUAUUGAAAGGCUUUGCCGUGGCAAGUCUCAUUCGUUGAGAUGUAGGCUCAUGUGUUGGGCAAGUCGCGGAGUACGGGUAAAGUGUACAUCCACUGCAGUGUGAGUAAACCAAAUCUAUUCAAAUAGCUGUGCUCACGGAUAUUGAGCACCGUGACAUGUAUUACACUUGGCUAGACUCUGAAUUCUUGAAAUGAUGGGUGGGAUGUUGCAUGAUGAUUUUGUACUGGUGGAACAACUUCUCGAGAGGCGAGAAGGGGUAGACCCCAGAAAACCAUGACGACCAGUGGCGGGAAGCUAUCCUUGGGAACACAAUGGAUGGUGGAUAGAACCGUCGCUGUUUAAUGAACAAUGGAACUAAAACUUGAACAGUUUAUGCUAGGUCUUAGGUUUGUGAAAUGAUAUUUGAAAACUCAGCUUUACGCAAAGUAACCAUAGCCACUCUUUGUAAUACCCUUACAUUACUGCAUUUUGUGUGGUGGCUUGCUGAGUACUUUUGUACUCAUUGUUGCUCUAUAUAUAUCUUUUAGCAGAGUGUUGAAGAGAAGCCCUUGUUAGUAUGCUUGCGUACCUAGCAAGAUGAUCGGAGUGCGGUUCCAUUCUAGGUCUCGUUCCCCAGUCGACUGCUUGUGGCAUGUCAACUGUCACGUCCUGAUAAAUUCAUCCCGAAAUAAAAAUCAUUUUCUAAAAGGAAUAAUAGAAUUAAUUAAAAUUCGAAAAGAAAUUGGCAAACACUAAAAUGCGUACAAGAAAAAUUUGAAUGUGGCCCGGAGAAUUUUUGUUAAAUUCUCCUUGGUCUAAAAGGAGCCCUCAAAUUUUACUUGAAUUUUCAGAGCAUCGGAAAUAAUUAUUAAGCAACAAAAACAAUUAUCAGAGUUUAUUAAAAAGAAAAAGCUAAAAAUAAUCCUCCUUUUCUUUUGGGCCAAGUUUGGCCCAAAGUUCCCCCCCUCUCUCUCUCCCGGCCCGCGGCCAAAGUCUCCCUCUCCUCCCUCUCUUUUUCCUUCCCUCUCUCUCUUGGGCCAGCCCGGCCCAUCUCCCUCCCCUCUCCCUCCUCUCCCCGCGGCCCACUCGGCCUCUCCCCGCGCGCGCGCGCGCUGACGGGCGGGCCCACCCGCCACCCUCGCUGACGGGUGGGGCCCACCUGUCAUCCCUGUCCUCCCGCCGCUCCCGCCGCCUCGCCCGUGCCCUAACGCCGCCGCCGCCGCGAAUCCCGCCGCCUCCCGCCGUCCACACGCGCAAUAAAGUGGGGGGAAAUAUUCCCCGUGAUUCCCUCCCUCUUUCCCCCCAUUUUUCCCUCCCUCUCUCCCUCGGAUUCGUUUGGAAACCUCUCCCCUAACCUCGCCGGCGCCAUCAAUGGCGGCCGGAUCUUCCGCGCCCGUUUCCUCCUCGUCCGGCCGCUCUCUCCCCCUUCCAACCCUAUAUAAACCCUCCCCGCACCUCCUCCGUUCGUUUCCGCCUCUCGCCGCUCUCUCUCCCCGCCGGAAUCGAGCUCGCGCCGUCGCUCUCUCUCUCCGCCGUCGCCGCCGAGCUCCGGUCCGCCGCCGUUGCCGCCGAGCUCCGGUCCGCCGCCGUCGUCGCCCCGGACCACCUUCCCCCUCGGCGCCGCCUCCUUCGGCUUCGCCGCGUCCUCGGUGACCUCGUCCACCCCUCCGUUUCACUCGCCGACCGCCGGAACGCCGCCGUCCCCGUCGACCCGAGCCGCGCCGCCGCCUUCCUCCGCUCCGGCUGCCUUUCCGUCGUCGCCGUCGACCUAGGGUGAGCCGUGGACCGCCGCUUCUUUUCCCCCUUCCCUCCCCCUCUCUCGGCAGCCGCUCCGCCGUGCCUAUGGCCGCCGCCGGCGACCAUAGGGGCGUGGGCGCGCCGCCUCCUGCCGCUGCGCCGGCGUGGUCGCCUUCGGGCGCACCGAGCGGCUGCCGCGUGGGGCCCGGCUAUCAGCCGCCCGCGCCCUUAGGUGCGGCUGACGCGUGGGACCCACGGUGCCGGCCGGUGUGAGCCCGGGUGCGCCCGGUCCACCGUGGGCCGUGGGGCUGCCGCGUGGGCCCCACCCCCGUGGACCCGGUCCGCGCGCCCCUCCCCUCGGCUGACGCAAUAAAUCCAUUUUUUUAAAUUAAAAUUUAAAUGAAGAAAUUCGCAAAUAUUCAUUUAAAUAGCAUAUAACCUUCAAAUGGCCAUAACUUGGCCAUUUGAACUCGGAAUUGGACCGUUCAAGUCUCUAAUUUUUCCUUAAGAAGUCAAGAACCCAUUUUUGUGCUUUGUUCCUGCUUGUUAUAUGGAGUUUAUUAGAGUAAAGCCUUUUCUUUUCCGUUGGUCGUGUAGACGCUGCAGCUUCGGAAGAUCCACUCUUCGUGGAGGUUGAAGCCGACGUUUGGGAAAGCGAGCAAGGCAAGUCACAUCAUCCUUGAACAUAUUGAAUCCUAGUUUAUAAAAUUAUUUUGAUUUAAAUUAUUGCAUUAUCGCUUUAUUUAAAUUCCCGCGUUAUCACUGUUUUAUUUAGCCAUGCCUAUUUACCUUUGUUAUGACCUUGUUAUUAUUGCUAUUGUUAUUAUUACCUUGUUAUUAUUACCUUGUUCACCCUAGGAUAAACAAAACCCCAACUAGUGGGUACCCUAUUCAUGGUUCCACUAGUAUGAAUUUACGUAGAUGCUUCGCUGAUUAAUAGGACAACAUUAGGUGGUUUUUAUAGCUUUAGACUUUGGGAAUUCUCACAUCAUUUGGACACUAUGGAAUGGUUGGCUUAUGGUGGAAUUGGACAUACCCCUCUCUUCCUCUUUCAAAACCCCUAAAACCUGUUUUCCGGUGGGGUUUGGGUGCAUGCCAGUUGUGGGAAGUAGCACCCCGGCCAAUAUAAGGAUUAAGCUCGGGCCUCUGUUGCAAAGCACUACCGUACUUCCACAUGUCUAGUGGGUAAGGCUUAGUUUGUGGCUCAGUCUGGUUAUAAACAAAAGUACACGGAUGGAGAUGGACGAAGUCGGGGGUCGAUGGACAUCUCUAGGACAAAUGAAGGCUACACGAGCUGCGGCCCGGUAGUCGAGAUGUCAUGGCACAGGGCCGGUGUCCUGCUGCUAGGGGCUCAAUCCUGCCUACCUGUCCCGGAGGUUCCGGCCGUAGGUGGGGUUGGGUCGGUACUCUUGUCUAUGGCUAGGAUGGGUUGGAAACUAUGUCACGUCUUCCGUCCGUAUACCGUGGUGGUAUGUGGCACGUGGUUACACGUGAGGAAGAUGUGUCUUGUGGGUAAAGAUGUACACCUCUGAUCAGAGUAUAAUCUAUUCGAAUAGCCGCGCCCUCGGUUAUGGGCAAGCCGAGCAAUGUACCCAAGUCAGUGUUUUAAUUCUUAAAAUUUGCUUAACAACUAAAAUGUGGAAUGGUUGGCCUGGGUUGGCUUGGGACGAGCUGGGACCCAGGGUCGGGUUGCCAGUUCGGUCUGAAUCAUCGUAGGCCUUGGGUUAAGGCAGGUUCGUGAGGGUUCACGGCCUUGAUUAAUAACACUGUGUAACUCUAGGAUCGUCUUAUAAAAUGGCUUUGGGCAACUAAGUGACUUUUAAAUGCUGUUUUCUGCAAAGCUUAACCCCUAUAUUAUUACCCCUUGUACCCCCUUGCAUUAAUCAUGCAUCUGCCGGUGUGGCUUGCUGAGUACUGUGGUUGUACUCAUUCUUGCUCAAUCUUUUCCCCCCCCUUCAGUAAGAGAAGCUUGGGAGAAGAAGUCUUAGGUGGAGUCCUGGCUUAUACCCCAGUUGAGCGCCUGUGAAGAUGGAGCCGUAGGCCCGCAAGUCCGCUGCUGUUUAUUUUUGUUUGUCAGGCCUGAGGUGCCUUUGUAAUAAUGUAAAUAUUAUCGAUAUAAUAAAGAUGUGUCUUUUAUAUCA
Molecule: long non-coding RNA, 7210 nt
Filed under: Oryza sativa (Asian cultivated rice)
Lineage: Eukaryota; Viridiplantae; Streptophyta; Magnoliopsida; Poales; Poaceae
Description: long non-coding RNA (OSAT_LNC000173)
Source: RNAcentral